RNAcentral lists this ribosomal RNA (406 nucleotides) under uncultured bacterium. RNAcentral's name for it is "partial 16S ribosomal RNA". It matches the Rfam family "Bacterial small subunit ribosomal RNA", at positions 30 to 526 of the family's 1533-position model. The record is from RNAcentral.
AUUGAACGCUGGCGGCAGGCCUAACACAUGCAAGUCGAACGAGUGGCGGACGGGUGUGCAAUGUCUGUGAAACUGCCCGAUGGAGGGGGCUAACUACUGGAAACGGUAGCUAAUACCGCAUACCAUCGGAUGUGCCCAGAUGGGAUUAGCUAGGUGGUGGGGUACCGGCUCACCUAGGCGACGUUCCCUCGCUGGUCUGAGAGGAUGACCAGCAACACGAGAACUAGGACACGGUCCAGACGCCUACGUGAGGCAUCAGUGGGGAAUAUUGCAGAAUGGGCGCAAGCCUGAUGCAGCCAUGCGGCGUGUAUGUAGGAGGCCGUCGGGUUGUAAAGUACUGUCAGCGAGGAGGCGUUACUCGCAGAAGAAGCACCGGCUAACUCCGUGCCAGCAGCCGCGGUAAUUC